This 34-nucleotide transfer RNA is filed under the name Cercocarpus rzedowskii. RNAcentral describes it as "partial tRNA-Phe". The record is from RNAcentral. Lineage: Eukaryota; Viridiplantae; Streptophyta; Magnoliopsida; Rosales; Rosaceae.
GUCGGGAUAGCUCAGCUGGUAGAGCAAAGGACUG